Molecule: ribosomal RNA, 443 nt
Filed under: uncultured bacterium
Lineage: Bacteria
Description: bacterial SSU rRNA
Rfam family: Bacterial small subunit ribosomal RNA
Source: RNAcentral
CCUACGGGGGGCAGCAGUGGGGAAUUUUCCGCAAUGGGCGAAAGCCUGACGGAGCAAUACCGCGUGAGGGAGGAAGGCUCUUGGGUCGUAAACCUCUUUUCUUAGGGAAGAACAAAAUGACGGUACCUAAGGAAUAAGCAUCGGCUAACUCUGUGCCAGCAGCCGCGGUAAUACAGAGGAUGCAAGCGUUAUCCGGAAUGAUUGGGCGUAAAGCGUCCGUAGGUGGUUUGUCAAGUCCGUGGUUAAAGCGCGAAGCUCAACUUCGUAAGGGCCAAGGAAACUGACAGACUAGAGUGAAGUAGGGGUAGAGGGAAUUCCCAGUGUAGCGGUGAAAUGCGUAGAGAUUGGGAAGAACACCGGUGGCGAAAGCGCUCUACUGGACUUAGACUGACACUGAGGGACGAAAGCUAGGGGAGCGAAAGGGAUUAGAUACCCGAGUAGUC